CCUAUCCUGACUUUUCCUCUAAGUAAUUAAUACUGGACAUAUGUGAUGUGGAAAAUUUCACAUAGUUGUUCUUUAAUGAAUUUCUUCCUCUUGUCUUCUGGAUUUCACCAAAAUCAGUGUUUUUGUGACAGUGGUUGCACUAGCUUUAAAUUACUAGCCUGUAUUAUAGCACUCUAGAAUGUCAUCCCAACACUGCUAACUCAUGUAUUUUUUUCUAAGUGAAGUUCUUUAAAUUUAGUGGUCAUGUGUGUGGGACUCUAUAGCCAGGAGAUCAAUAUCAGAUUCAUUUUCAGUUGUUCUCCACCUUAUUUUUUGAGACAAACUUCUUAACUGAAACCAGAGUUUACAGUUUUAGAUGGACUCUCUGGCCAUCCAUACACAAGGCUCUUUCUUUUUCUGCCUUUCCAGUAAUGAAAUUACAACCUUGAUAUGUCACCAGAUGUUUCAUCUGGGUGCUGAGUAAUUGAAUCAAUGCUUUCAUGUUUGCAUGAAAAUCAUUUAUCAACUGAGCCAUCUCUACAGUCUAAUUUUUCUAGCUUUUGCUCCAUUUUAUCUGUAGUUUACUAACAUGGCAAUCUCAACUGAUCUUUUUCCUGUGUCUUUUCCAGAAGACAAUUCUGUACCCAUUUCUUGCGGGUUUUAUUAUUCUUUGUCUCCAUCAGUGCACCAGGAGUUGUACCUGCUUUUGUACAUCUCUUUUCUCAUUAGCAUCCCAGUGAGGAAUCUGAAUUGACAAAUCAUCAAUGAGCCUGAUGGAGAAGCACUAAGUAGAAUUACAAUGUUGGUUCUGUUCCCAUGGGUAGUUCACAGUUAAUUCCAGUGAAAGUUGAAGAAUGCUCAGAGAGAAAUAUAUAUAUGAAAAGAGAUAUUUCAUAGUUGUCACCAUGAACAUUUGCUCAUGUUUGUUGCUGUGAAUCUGUGACUCCAAUACUUCUGUCCCCUAGGACUGUUUCGUGGACCACUGUUCUUGCUGCUCUUCUGAUCCCUACCCCAUGGACAUUUUAUUUGUUUGAGUCUUCCACAGACUAUUGCACUAAACAUUCACUAGAGGAACAUCCUAUCCCCCAUAUAGAUACUUGUUAUCAAAACACAUAUGAAUUUGUCUCCAGUUUGUGCCUGUCUUUUGUCCAGACUCCUUUCUUAAUGGAACUUCCUGUCAUUGGGGUUUUUCCUAACUACUUUCAAAUUGGAGAUCAC
RNAcentral lists this long non-coding RNA (1197 nucleotides) under Mus spicilegus (steppe mouse). RNAcentral's name for it is "lncRNA (ENSMSIG00000011237.1)". Lineage: Eukaryota; Metazoa; Chordata; Mammalia; Rodentia; Muridae. The record is from RNAcentral.